AUAGAUUAAUGUGUAUUUUUACAGCAUUUAUUUAUUAUGAGAUUACUCUUUUGAACGCAACUCUAUGAUCGCUUGUUUAACUCUUUUGAGUACCCUCACACUAAGCAAUGAACUGGCGAAAUGCGACAACGAAAUGUUUACAUAUAUAAAUAAAACUUACAUAUUUCGAUGAAUAUCCGUAUGCAACGAUUGACCUGUUAGAAAACUGGAAGCUCCAUCAUCCAUACUGAAUGUUAACGAAACUGUAAGAUCGCUUAAUAGCUCUCUAAUUUACACACACACAAUGAUAGAAUAGUGGUAUUGGUGAUAUGCAAUGAACUGACGAUAUAAUAUAAAUAUAACUAACAUAUUUCGAUGAAUAUCCGUGUGCACCGACUUUCCCCUUCUAUACAAAGUGUAUACAAACACUUUUCACAACUUUUCCGUUAUUUCUCUGACCUAAUUACCACGAAAAACAACCAUUUUCUUCAGCGACGAAAGAAAGGUGCACAGAUAGCUUAACAUGGCCGACCCGAUACUCGAUACUCGAUGCUUUUUUUCCUCUCUUGCAAAAAGUUGACCGUGUUAGAAAGCUGGAUGCUACAUUAUGGAGGUACAUACGGAUGUGUGUAUGUUUACGUUUUGCCAAAUUAGGCAAAAAAGUCUCUUUAACCCUUCUAUACGAAAUAUAUUAUUAUUACAACAAGCGGGUUCUUUAACAGCUUUUUAAUUUUUUUCUUAUUUAUUAUGAAAUUAUACUUUUAAAAAUAACUGUAAGAUCGCUUUAUUAACUAUCUGAUUUACACACACACAAUGAUAGAAUAGUGGUAUUGGAGAGAGGCAAUGAACUGACGAAAUGGGACAACGAAAAGUUUACAAAUAUAAAUAAAACUUACAUAUUUCGAUGAAUAUCCGUGUGCACCGACUUUCCCCUACUUUUGUAUACACUUUUCACAACUUUUCCGUUAUUUCUCUGACCUAAUUACCACGAAAAACAACCAUUUUCUUCAUCGACGAAAGAAAGGUGCACAGAUAGCUUAACAUGGCCGACCCGAUACUCGAUACUCGAUGCUUUUUUUCCUCUCUUGCAAAAAGUUGACCGUGUUAGAAAGCUGGAUGCUACAUUAUGGAGGUACAUACGGAUGUGUGUAUGUUUACGUUUUGCCAAAUUAGGCAAAAAAGUCUCUUUAACCCUUCUAUACGAAAUAUAUUAUUAUUACAACAAGCGUGUUAUUUAACAGCUUUUUACUUUUUUUCUUAUUUAUUAUGAAAUUAUACUUUUAAAAAUAACUGUAAGAUCGCUUUAUUAACUAUCUGAUUUACACACACACAAUGAUAGAAUAGUGGUAUUGGAGAGAGGCAAUGAACUGACGAAAUGCGACAACGAAAAGUUUACAAAUAUAAAUAAAACUUACAUAUUUCGAUGAAUAUCCGUAUGCAACGAUUGACCUGUUAGAAAACUGGAUGCUCCAUCAUCCAUGCUGGAUGUUAACAACACUGUUGUUGACCCAUCAGAAGGCUGGAUGCUACAUCAUCCAUGUAGGAGGUACAUGUUCUGCGAAACUACGCAAAAUUCGACUGGAUCGACAAAAGUUACAUUAAAAGUAUAUAAAUGUGAUUUAAAAUAAAUGACAGGGUCCUAUGCAGCUUCUGAUCGUUCUUAAUAUGUUAUAUAAUCAUAAUCCGUCAAUUCAAAAAUAUAACUUCAUUAUAUUUGCUUUACUCGA
This is a long non-coding RNA of Drosophila yakuba, 1706 nucleotides long. RefSeq lists it as uncharacterized. Lineage: Eukaryota; Metazoa; Arthropoda; Insecta; Diptera; Drosophilidae. The record is from RefSeq and is a predicted model, not a curated record. The transcript has 2 exons.